Molecule: RNA transcript, 2196 nt
Organism: Mirounga angustirostris (Northern elephant seal)
Lineage: Eukaryota; Metazoa; Chordata; Mammalia; Carnivora; Phocidae
Gene: TBXA2R
Gene name: thromboxane A2 receptor
Exons: 4
Source: RefSeq, a predicted model, not a curated record
AAUUGUGUGCCAGGCCCCAGCCCACCAGGUUCACCAGCUUGGAGCCCUGGGCCCCUUGGGUGGGGGUCUGGGCGCCUAGGGGGCUGAUUCUGCCCGCGGGCUCCGUCCCGCCCCUGCCGGCCUUGGGUGCUGCCCAGAUGGUGAAUAAUGCGGGGCCGGGAGGCGGGAGCGCAAACAGGGGGCCCGGCUCAGGCGGGUCCGGGGCCGAAGGCUCCCGAGUGGGCGGGCGCCGGCCACCCGCAUCCCUGUCCCUGAGCCCAGGGGGACGCGCCCACCCCUCCCCCAGGCGGCUGCGCGAGUUCCCGGGAGGGCUGGGGGGUACCCACUGACCCCCAUCAACCAGGCCGUGCCAGAGGGGCGUGGCCAGUGCAGGGGGCGGGGCCGGUAGAGACGGACGAGAGACAGAGAGACAAGGACAGGGCGCGGGCUGCGGAGCGGAGCCCCCGGCUUGGGCUAUUUUUAGCCCCCUCGGACCCCCCCUUCCGGGCCGCGAAGGCUCGUCGCCCCUCCUCCAGCCCCAGAGCACCUCGCGCACCCCAGCGUCCAGAGCUGCCGUGCCCUCCGUCUGUUCCCUCUGAGGACGUGGCAGCGCCGGGGUCCUCUGGGCGGCCCGCCCCUGGCCGUGACUCGGUUUCCCCGGGGGCCCCGGGAGGCCGGACCGCCCCACUCCCCGCUCCGCCCUCCCAGGCCUGGGCCCGGCGCCCGCCCGCGGGGCUCCGUGACAGGGGCGGCCCCAGCGCGUCCCACCGAUCAUCGUGUCCAGGUGUGCCUGAGCCAGCGCCAGUUCUCCCCACCUGCAGCCCCGGCCCGAUGGGGUGGUGACCCUCCCCUCCCCGCUCCAGCGCCAUGUGGCCCAACGGCACUUCCCUGGGGCCCUGUUUCCGGCCAACCAACAUCACGCUGGAAGAGCGGCGCCUGAUCGCCUCUCCCUGGUUCGCCGCCUCCUUCUGCCUGGUGGGCCUGGCGUCCAACCUGCUGGCCCUGAGCGUGCUGGCGGGUGCGCGGCAGGGCAGUUCACACGCCCGGUCCUCCUUCCUCACCUUCCUCUGCGGCCUGGUGCUCACCGACUUCAUGGGGCUGCUGGUCACCGGCGUGAUCGUGGUGUCCCAGCACGCCAUCCUCUUCGACUGGCACGCGGUGGACCCCAGCUGCCGCCUCUGCCAGUUCAUGGGCGUCAUCAUGGUCUUCUUCGGCCUCUGCCCGUUGUUGCUGGGGGCAGCCAUGGCCUCGGAGCGCUACCUGGGCAUCACCCGGCCUUUCUCGCGCCCCACGGUGGCCUCGCAGCGCCGGGCCUGGGCCACGGUGGGGCUGGUGUGGGCGUCGGCGCUGGCGCUGGGCCUGCUGCCCCUGUUGGGUGUGGGCCGUUACACAGUGCAGUACCCCGGCUCCUGGUGCUUCCUCACGCUCGGCGCCCAGCCCGGGGAUGUGGCCUUCGGCCUGCUGUUCACGCUCCUCGGCAGCUUCUCGGUCGGGCUGUCCUUCCUGCUCAACACUAUCAGCGUGGCCACUCUCUGCCACGUCUACCAUGGGCAGGAGGCCGCCCAGCAACGCCCGCGGGACUGCGAGGUCGAGAUGAUGGCUCAGCUCAUGGGCAUCAUGGUGGUGGCCAGCUUCUGCUGGAUGCCGCUGCUGAUCCAUGAGAACAGGCCUGGGAAGGGCACCCCAAGGACAGGACAAGAGCACAUUUGCCAGCCAGAAGCAGCAUUCUGUGGCUGUGGCCCCCGUGGGAACCCAUCAGUGCCAGCAGCUGGGACCCACCCCAGGAACCGGCUCCUUCCCUCCCCUGGAGAUGCACACGCCUGUCACCUCACAAGGACCCUGACCUCCAGCAGACUCGUCCAUGCUGCUGCACAUCGCUCUCCUCCCUGCCCCCCAGGGACGCCCAGAAUGGGCUCUGUCCUGCUCUGAACCAUUGGAGCUGGGGCUUUGAAGCAUGAAUAGGAGUUUACUCACCAGGCAUAAGGGAGAAGGCGUCCCUUCCCUUAGGUAGAAGCGCUGAAUCAUUAAAAAAAACCCUGAGUCCCCUUUGUGGGCAAACUUUUCCAUAAAGGGCCAUAUGGUCUUCAUCGCUCAAACGGUGCUGCGCAGCCCUCCCACCAUGAGCCCCACGGGGCAGCUGUCCCGAGCCACCGAGCAGCAGCUGCUCAUUUACCUGCGUGUGGCCACCUGGAACCAGAUCCUCGACCCCUGGGUGUA